UCAGAUUGAACGCUGGCGGCAUGCCUUACACAUGCAAGUCGAACGGCAGCGCGGGAGCAAUCCUGGCGGCGAGUGGCGAACGGGUGAGUAAUACAUCGGAACGUGCCCAAUCGUGGGGGAUAACGCAGCGAAAGCUGUGCUAAUACCGCAUACGAUCUACGGAUGAAAGCAGGGGAUCGCAAGACCUUGCGCGAAUGGAGCGGCCGAUGGCAGAUUAGGUAGUUGGUGAGGUAAAGGCUCACCAAGCCUUCGAUCUGUAGCUGGUCUGAGAGGACGACCAGCCACACUGGGACUGAGACACGGCCCAGACUCCUACGGGAGGCAGCAGUGGGGAAUUUUGGACAAUGGGCGCAAGCCUGAUCCAGCCAUGCCGCGUGCAGGAUGAAGGCCUUCGGGUUGUAAACUGCUUUUGUACGGAACGAAACGGCCUUUUCUAAUAAAGAAGGCUAAUGACGGUACCGUAAGAAUAAGCACCGGCUAACUACGUGCCAGCAGCCGCGGUAAUACGUAGGGUGCAAGCGUUAAUCGGAAUUACUGGGCGUAAAGCGUGCGCAGGCGGUUAUGUAAGACAGUUGU
RNAcentral lists this ribosomal RNA (576 nucleotides) under bacterium enrichment culture. RNAcentral describes it as "bacterial SSU rRNA". It matches the Rfam family "Bacterial small subunit ribosomal RNA", at positions 24 to 595 of the family's 1533-position model. The record is from RNAcentral.